UGUAUAAACUGCCUAUAAAACGAUUAAAAUUUGUAAUUUUUCAGUGGCAGAGUCUUGGAAUCGACAUCCAAUUGGCGUACUAGCAGGCAACAAAUAUCAUAUGGGUAUUUAUGACGAAUGUGUCGACGUUAAUUAUCCAGUAAAGGCACAGUAUUGUUUGUCCGAAAUACAUUUGUUUCCGCCAAUGGGGAAAAAUUACAGUUUUCUAAAAGGAACGGAAAACAUUAACAAUGUUGGCGACAAUCACGCGUGGAAAACAAUACUUGGGUGGGUCGAUUCUCCGGAUCUAAUCAAACGAAACAGUUUGAAUUUAGGGAUAUGCAUACCGGAUUCUUGUUCAGCGUCAGAUCUACAGACGUCGUUGCAAAAUGAAUUUGACAAGGUGUUUUUACCGGAGAAGUUCAAAGCUGUCGUCCAAGUAGACCCAAUACUCUGUACUGUGAGUGGAGAUAUGUAUCCUUACGACAUGGCGUAUUUUUUAACCAGUGCAUUCUUCGUACUACUUGUUAUGAUAUGCUGUGGUGUGACCGUUUGUCAUUUCAUAAAACUAUCGCGUCAACAAAAUGAAACCUUAUCAAAUGAUGAAUUCUUCAUUUCAUUUUCAUUUAUCAAGUCUCUCAAAGAAUUGUUAAAAUAUGAUAAAACGAACGAAUUGAAUUUUCUGAAUGGUAUGAAAGUGACAACCAUGAUAUUCAUUUUAUUUGGUCACAGAUCCAUGUAUUUAGCAGGAUAUCCUAUAAGUUAUUCUAAAUAUAUCGAAAAUAUGUACAUAUAUGGACCUGAUAUAUUAUUGACUAGUAUGAAUCUAGUAGAUCCGUUUUUCUACAUUAGUGGUUUUAUCUUGUACAUCACAAUCUCUCCGAUAUUCCUGAAAGCAGGAUCAGUAUGGAUAAAGCUUGCGUCACCGGUUAUCUAUCGAAUAGUAAGAAUGUUACCGGCUUAUUGUGCAAUGAUGGUGAUCACAGCUAAUAUCGUGCCUCAUCUUGGAGACGGGCCACUGUGGCCCCAAAAAACCUGGAGUGAAGCCGAGACAUGUAAAAAGUAUUGGUGGACCAAUCUGCUUUUUAUGAGUAAUUUUGUAGACGCCAAGUAUGAAUGCCUAAUAGUGAGCUGGUACAUAUCGUGUGACCUUCAGUUCUUCAUAGUUGGAGUUAUUUUGGUUUACAUUUACACAAAGAACACUAAAUACGGAAUUGGAUUGCUCUCUACCAUUGUUAUUGCGUCGACAUUUACGCCAUUUAUAAGCACGAUUUUGAAUAAAAAUGAUGGAAUACUUAAAGUACACCUUCGAUUUUUAGAAAACCCCAGAACUUAUACAACGUUUAAUGAGUCUUACAGAGCAAGUCACAUGAGAGCCACACCUUUUUUUGUCGGGGUGGCAAUGAGCUUAGUUGCUAAUAAAUUAAAACAGACAAAAAAAAAAUUAUCUGUGUUUACUGUCUACGGAGGAACGUUAGUUGUAGUUGUGGUCUGUUUGUGGGUACAGUUAUACGGUGCUUUAUUUUAUGUGAGACAUAGACCUUAUUAUCUAUUGGAACAUGCUCUAUAUUCGACAUUCAGCCAUUGGACAUGGACGACAAUAGCUGUGUGGGUCACUAUUUGCUAUUACACAACUGGUUACGAUUUAUGGUACCCAUGGGGAGACUCUCAUACUCCGUUUUCUUAGUGAACCUAAUCGUUAUGAUGAUGUCUCAGAGUUCUCAAAGACUACCUACUUAUCUAUCAGCAAAAUCAUCGUUGGAUGUUUGGAUACACGAUACUUUUAAAACUUAUUUAAUGGGCUUAGCAUUAUACUUAGUCGUAGAAGCACCGUUUGGAGAUUUGACUAGACAAAUGUUCGGGCGAGG
This 1847-nucleotide unclassified non-coding RNA is filed under the name Acyrthosiphon pisum (pea aphid). RNAcentral's name for it is "nose resistant to fluoxetine protein 6, transcript variant X3". The record is from RNAcentral. Lineage: Eukaryota; Metazoa; Arthropoda; Insecta; Hemiptera; Aphididae.